GUGCCACUAGCUCAGAGAAAGAGCAACUGAUUCUUACUCAGUAGGUCCGGGGUUCAAGUCCUUGGUGGCGCACCA
This 75-nucleotide transfer RNA is filed under the name Clostridium botulinum. RNAcentral's name for it is "tRNA-Lys". It matches the Rfam family "tRNA". From Rfam's summary of the family: Transfer RNA (tRNA) molecules are approximately 80 nucleotides in length. Lineage: Bacteria; Bacillati; Bacillota; Clostridia; Eubacteriales; Clostridiaceae. The record is from RNAcentral. RNAcentral also lists the same sequence under 15 other names.